AAAUUUUAUCUUACUUUUCUACUUUUUUUAUUUUGAGAAAUAUCUUUUUGUUUAGUAUAUUAGGGAAAAAUGCUUGUUUGUUAUAGUGAAUUAGUACUGUGAAGGAAUUGAUGAAAUAAUUUAAAAUUAAAUUUUUUGUAAGUAUACUUAAUUUGUAGUACCUUUUGUAUCAGGGUGAUUAAAUAAAUUUAAUUUAUAUUUGUAUCUCGAUUUCAGAAGAGCUAGAUUGCAUUUUAGUUCUGUAGCAUAAUCAUUAAUCAUACAUUUUAGUAGAGAAAUUUUAUUCGUUUUUGAAGGUAUCUAGUUUUUUAAGAAUUAAAUUGAAUUUAAUUUUACUACUUAAAUAUUAUAUUAUUAUAUAAUUUAUUUGGUAAAUUAAAAAUUAUAGGGGAUAAGCUCUAUAUUCUUCUAUAAAACUUUUGUGAAUAGAUUUUGGUAGGUUUAAGAUUAUCCAUCAUUAGUAAUUGUGUUAUAAUUUAUAUCUAUUAUUAAUUAAUUUUAUUAUUUUUAGUUUUCUAUUAAAAUACCACAAUUAAUUUUAUAUUUUGGGAAAAAAUGAUUAAAUUAGUAUAAGAAAAUGUUUAUAUUAUUAUAAAUUUUAUGAUAAAAUAAGGAACUCGGCAAAUAUAGUUCCCGCCUGUUUAACAAAAACAUGUCCUUUUGAAUUUAAUUUAAGGUCUGACCUGCCCAGUGAAAAUUUAACGGCCGCGGUAUACUGACCGUGCAAAGGUAGCAUAAUCAUUAGUCUUUUAAUAGAGGGCUGGAAUGAAUGGUUUCACGAGGAAUUGACUGUCUCAUUUUAUUUGUUUUAAAAUUUAAUUUUUUAGUUAAAAAGCUAAAAUUCCAUUGGAAGACGAGAAGACCCUAUAGAUCUUUAUGUAGAUUUUUAUUUAUUUAUUUAUUAACAUAACUAUAAUAAAUCUAUAUUUUGUUGGGGUGACAAAAAUAUAUAAUAAACUUUUUCAUUUAUUUGCCAUUGAUAUAUGAUUAUGUGAUCCAUUAUUAGUGAUUAAUAGAAUAAGUUACCUUAGGGAUAACAGCGUAAUCCUCCUCCAGAGUCCAUAUUUACAGGAGGGCUUGCGACCUCGAUGUUGGAUUAAGAUAAUAAUUAGGUGUAGCCGCUUAAUUUAUAGGUCUGUUCGACCUUUAAAUUCUUACAU
This 1160-nucleotide ribosomal RNA is filed under the name Sympetrum meridionale. RNAcentral's name for it is "partial 16S ribosomal RNA". The record is from RNAcentral. Lineage: Eukaryota; Metazoa; Arthropoda; Insecta; Odonata; Libellulidae.